Non-coding RNA from Pelagibacteraceae bacterium GOM-A4, 69 nucleotides. Lineage: Bacteria; Pseudomonadati; Pseudomonadota; Alphaproteobacteria; Candidatus Pelagibacterales; Candidatus Pelagibacteraceae. The record is from Rfam.
CAAUCAAUAAAUUCAAUCACAGGUUGACGUGGACUCCUGACUGGAGUCUAAUUCAAAAAUAUAAAAUGA